Molecule: small RNA, 125 nt
Filed under: Marmota monax (woodchuck)
Lineage: Eukaryota; Metazoa; Chordata; Mammalia; Rodentia; Sciuridae
Source: RNAcentral
GCUGGGCACAGUGGUGCAUGCCUGUAAUCCCAGCGGCUCAGGAAGCUGAGAUAGGAGAAUCGCAAGUUCAAAGCCAGCCUCAGCAACAGCGAGGUGCAAAGCAACUUAGUGAGACCCUGUUUCUA